GAUAGCUGUCUUGUUGAUGAUUCAGCCUAUUGACACCUGAUUUAUAUGAUUCAGUACUAUGACCUGUUGAGCAUAUUCAUGAGUAGCAUAUAUGUUUACUUGAUUAUUCCAUAUAUGCUUCAGAUGAGUUGAUAUUGAUUGUGGUGGUAUUGAUGACUUACUCCAUAUUCUUUAUGUUGAGAUCAUGUUCAUCUUGUUAUUGUUCUUGAGAUUUCACCUCGAGCCAUGAUUAUAUCUGGUCUCAUGUGCAUAGUACUCUCUACUCCACUCACCGAGUAUUUAUAUACUCACUCCCCAGUUUGGUGUUUUUGAUUGCAGGGCAGGUAUUGUAUAGAGAAGAGCAGGGUUAGAGAUUGCCUGCUAGCUGUGCCGCUCCAUAGUAUAGUAUAGUAUAGUAUAAUGUAGAUAAAGGUUUAUACAUUUUGGUGUAUUAUAAACCUUCUAUUGUAUAUAGUGCAUAGUUACAGUCAUAGAUCCUGUUGUGGAUAUGGGUUUGACCAUGGAUGGAUUAGGAAGCAGGUAUAUAUAUAUGUGUGCAGAUGAGUUAUAUCCUUGAGAUGAUGUAUUGAUAUAUAUUGUCCAGGUUUAUUAUGUGACAGAUUAUGUGAUUGCUGCUCUGACAGGUAGUGUGUUGUAUGUAUUGAGAUAAUCUUGACAGGUCACUAUAGGAAAAGUGAUCAUUUUGUGCAUUGAUAGUCAACUUUAAAGACCACGCAAUAGCACGUAUCUGGUAGGAUAGUGAUUACGAGUAUCGAUCCACAGGGAUUGGGGUAUAAUUGUUUUUCUUUAAAAAUA
Molecule: long non-coding RNA, 795 nt
Filed under: Phoenix dactylifera (date palm)
Lineage: Eukaryota; Viridiplantae; Streptophyta; Magnoliopsida; Arecales; Arecaceae
Description: long non-coding RNA (PDAC_LNC011982)
Source: RNAcentral